Molecule: non-coding RNA, 268 nt
Organism: Pimephales promelas (fathead minnow)
Lineage: Eukaryota; Metazoa; Chordata; Actinopteri; Cypriniformes; Leuciscidae
Source: RefSeq, a predicted model, not a curated record
UCAGUUCUCGAGGGAGCUGAUUGUGGGCAUUGCGAGAAGCUGUCCGCGAGGACGCUCCGCUCCCGCCGGGCGUUCUCCGAGGAGGACGGUUCGGUUCGCGGUCCCCGCGCGGGUCUCUCUGUUGCCGAGGCACGGAGACGACUCGCAUUUCGGGGUUCGCAAACGGAUCUGACAGCGGGGGUUGGGACGAGCUCAGCUCUAUCUCAGCUUUCACAUGCCAGAUCUGGACUGCGAUUUCCAGUUCCGAGGAAUUGGUAUCGUUAGUGUU